GGUCUGUCUACAGGCUCCACAUCCAGAUCCUAACUAAAAUUUAGAAGUCUUUAGAUGUCUGUGGAUAUUAUCAUCUGGAAAACUGGGACUCUAAUAGUUUCUGAGUCUAGUAUUUUCCCCAUAUAGCUACUCAGUUUUUUCUAGUAUAUAUGUCAAAUAAAAUUUUGAAAAAAUUACCCCUUCCCACAAUCUUUGCAAAUUAAUCCUCAAAUGAAAAGGAUUUAAUUUAGCUAUUCCAUGAUAAAUAAAAAAUAUGCAAUUUUAUUGAAUAAACUUAAAGUAAUUAAUAAAUUCAAUGUACUGUCAGAAGUUUUCUGUUUUGUUUUGUUUUUAAAAAUGUCCAUUAAAAUGCUACCUAUGUGGGUUAAAAAGCCUAUAAUACAAUUUCUAACUUCAGGAAUAUGUGACAACAUGUAGAAAGGGUAUAUUGGGCUGUGCAAUUUAAAUUUUCAUCACCUACAGGUUAUGGCAUAAGACUGAUAUGAAAAUGAAUGAGAAUUAGGUUAUAUGUAGAGUCUUUUGUCUUUUGUUCUAUUACUAUAAAAUAUUUCAUUUAAAAAGUAGGGAAAAAAUUACUAAGGUGGUGAAUUUGCCUGAUAUACCAAUAAGCACAGUUGUUUUGGAAGUUGCUUGGUACCACUGACUUUUUGCUUCUUUAAAUAAGUAUUUCUUUCCUUAGCAAACACUUCUCUUUAUGAGAAUACCAUUACUCUCAAAAGAUUCCAAUGUUUAUUUUGUGCUUAUGGCACUUUUUAAUUUAAAUUUUCAAGAAUGCACUUUGCAUUAAGAUGAACCAAAGUAGUAUUAGUGAAUUCAGCAACCAGUUCAAGGCAUAGUUUUCUGAUUUUCCUACUUAAGAAAAUGAAGGCCAGGCGUGGUAGCUCACGCCUGUAAUCCCAGCACUUUGGGAGGCCGAGGUGUGUGGAUCACGAGAUCAAGAGAUCUAGACCAUCCUGGCCAACAUGGUGAAACCCCGCCUCUACUAAAAAUACAAAAAUUGGCUGGGCGCAGUGGCCUGCGCCUCUAGUCCCAGCUACUCGGGAGGCUGAGACAGGAGAAUGGGGUGAAUCUGGGAGGCGGAGCUUGCAGUGAGCCGAGAUCGCGCCACUGCACUCCAGCCUGGGCAACAGAGAGAGACUCAAUCUCAAAAAGAAAAGAAAAAGAAAAUGAAUAUAUUUUAAUUUUAGAAUUUCAGAACAUGUCCGUAUUAACUCGAAGAAAGUUAUCAUGAAUAAUGCUAUUUUAAUGAAUGCUGAGGGAAUUGUGCCUAAUAUUCUAAAAUACUCUUGAGAAUUAUGAAGAGUGUGCAGUAUGGCAAAGGCAGCCAUGAGAAUUCCCAAUAUAUAAAAUGUAUACUGUAUUCAAAUAAUUAUUUCUCAAAAGUAUAAAUUUUCACUCUAGAUAGUUUUCUACAGGGUGGCACAUGCUAUGUGGUAGUAAAUGAGCCUGUAAAACUGAACUCAUUAGACAAUAACUACUUCUAUUAAAUACCUAAAACACCCUUAAUGUGAAUGUUUUGAAUUUAUUUUUAUAUGUGUAGAGUCUAUAAUUUGUUAGUGACUAUAAAUUAAAUUAUAACAACCUUUAGCUUUUUUAAGUUUCACAAUUGUUCUGUAUUCCAAUUAAGAGGCUCAAAAUCUAGUCUGGGAAACUCCACUUGGCUUACAAAAAAAAAUCAAUAUGCUUUUUAUUUCAUGGGGCUCUGGGAUUGUUAAGAUUAGCAUGAAAUACUGACAUUUACACUCCUGAGUGGACUAGAAGGGGAGCAGGAUGGAAUGAUGAUGGCAAGUAAUUGGACAAUUGGACAGUUUCCAGAAAGGCUUUAAGAAAUACUAUUAAAUCUCCAUCUGCUGAUUGAAAAUUCCAGGUUCAUAAGGUAUAACAAUAGCUGAAAUACAAGCCUUAGAUGAUCUCUAUCUUUCCUUUGCAGGUUUGUACCCCACCUACUUUGCAAGAACCUGUGACAAUUUUUUAAUUAAAACAUCUGCAUAAUUAAACAUUUUAGGCUAAUGAUGACAAGAAGACAGGCCAUAUUUUAUUACUUUUGUUGAACUGCCCAGUGUAUAUUACAUUUGCUAUAAAUUAAUUACUCAAAAUCCUGCCUUGAAAAUAUCUGUUAUAAUUUUUAAAAAAAGAAAAUAAGGAAAAGAGAAGAAAUAGAUUAAAAAUUAAAUUAGGGUCUUACACUUAUAAUGAGAUGGUUCUAAGGAGGUAAGACUUAACCUAAAUAAGUUUUCGUUCCUUUGAAUUAGUGGAAUAAAUACAUCUUAAAUUUCUCCAUUCCAUUAGGACAGAUCACAGGUGAACUUGGUGAGGGAGUAAGCGAAGAACAGUUAGAGUUGCAGGGUCCUAAAUCAACCACAGGGAGAAUAAUAUAUUACUCUGCUUAUUUUACUCUUCCUCUCCUCUUCACGUUUAUGUCUUCUUCAGUAUUUCCUUCUCAGUUUGAGUUUUAUAUAGCAUAUGACAUACACAUAUGUGCCAACACAAUGUGAGUGACAAGACUGGAAGAGGAAAAGCUUACAUUAAUUUAUCUUGAAAAAUGAAAUGUCCAAUUAUACAACAUUAUAGAGUGCUAAUAGCUCACCAAAUAACAUAAAUAAGAUUAUAUUUCACUCAGUGCCAGACCUGACAACCAAACCUAGGUUCCAAAGUAAGCCUUUCUUUUUAUCAAUAGAUUGAAUAUACUAGAGGUUAAGAAAAUUCACAUAAGGCCGAAUCUCCUCUUUAAAAAAUCCUUUGGCAUUUUUCAUAAAAACAGCUCUUUGCCCGUGGCUCAAUUUAGGACUUUCACAAAUCCCUUGAAUAAUGAAGGUCUUGGUUUUACAUGACUGUUUAUGUGUGGUAUUCUAUGAAAGGUCCAAAAGCUUGUUAAGGACAAUUGCUAAAAAAAUUAAAAUAUAUCAAGAUUAUUUUUGUCAAACCAAUAUGUGUUAGAAAGUUAUCUAUUGAAGUGUAUUCCAUAUACUUAAUAUAAUAUUAUUAUAAUAAAUGGCAAGAUAAAAAGAAAUCCACUACAGGAUAUUCCCAUUUCUCUCCAGAGUCAUGGUAUCAACAGAUAACACGCCAGUCUCCCCAGGAUACCACUAUAAUUUAAUACAUGCAAAGUAUCCAUCUAAUUUACCUGUUACUGAUGAGGAAAUUCCAAAAGUAAGCUUCUCAUCAUAGCAAAUCCUGAAGAACUAGCAUUUAAGCUAUUUCAUUAUGGGGUGAAAAAAAUCAUCAUUUAGAAAUAAAAGUACCAAUUAGUAACAAAUUAUGUACAAGUCACUCUAGCACAGUGUAUUUCAAUCACUUCAGUAAUUUUUAGCCUCCCAAAAAAAAGUGUCAGAAAUGAGGCAUGAAAAGCUAUUAAAUGAAUCAUUCACACGUUGAAUAGAUGUUGUCGUCAGUUUGUUCUCUCAAUGGAAAUAAUGAACAACUGAUUUAUUUAUAACUGGUCAUUAUGAUAAUACACCUUCAUGUUCCACCCUUUUCAAUAUAUUAUGGAUAUGUUAUAACUGUCUUAUUUUAUAGCUGAUCUAAAAUCAUAUGCUUCCAUUAAAAUUUCUUCUUUUCCAGGCUUUCCCUUAAUUUUAAUGUUCCUUUGGCUUGGGGUGUAAUUAAAAUGUUUUUACUG
This 3619-nucleotide long non-coding RNA is filed under the name Homo sapiens (human). Its description in RNAcentral is "non-protein coding lnc-LRRTM3-4:1". The record is from RNAcentral. Lineage: Eukaryota; Metazoa; Chordata; Mammalia; Primates; Hominidae.